AGGACUCGGGACCCUGCCUGAAGCUGUUCCUUCCAUUGCUUCCAUCUACCUAACAGAAUAAAAAUGGUACAGAUUUGUACAAGCUAAACCACACAAAGAAGCCUGGGAAACUAAGAUUGGCUGUGGCAAACACCGUAAUUGCGGGUCUUGGAUCUGCAAGGCCCAUAGG
Hyaena hyaena (striped hyena) is the source of this 169-nucleotide long non-coding RNA. RefSeq lists it as uncharacterized. The transcript has 4 exons. The record is from RefSeq and is a predicted model, not a curated record. Lineage: Eukaryota; Metazoa; Chordata; Mammalia; Carnivora; Hyaenidae.